CCCGCCGCCGGCCCAGGCCCGAGCGAUCCCGGGCACCCCCUGCUCGGGCCGGCAGCAUGCCCCGCGGGCGAGCCUGGACGCAGGCGGAGGUCAGCAGCCUCCUGUCGCUGGUGGAGGGCUCGGGGGAGGCCGCACUGCUCAUGGCCUCCACGUCGCGACCCAACGAGGCGCUCUGGCGGGAGAUCUCCGGGGGUCUGGCGGAGGCCGGCUACGGGAGCAGCGUGGCCCAGUGCCGCUCCAAGUGGAAGGCGCUCAAGCAGGCUUUCCACUCGGAGCGGGAGACGCGCCGCAAGGCAGGACGUCACUCGCCCCGGCUGCCGCCGCACUACCGAGCCAUGAAGGCUAUCUGGAAGGCGGCCGGGCGGCCCGUGUUUGGUGAACGGAGGCUGCCAGGUGUGGUGAAGCUGCCCUCCAGAAAGCGCAGGUCAGCCCUUGCCACACGCUCUCCAUUCUCACCAAAGACACCAGAGCACAACGUUGGCGAGGACACCUUCAGCACACUGCUGUCACACAUGCUGCAGUGUGCGAAGGACCAGCCAGAGAGUCGUUUUCCUGGUGAGACAUCCCUGGGGAUGGGAAGAACAUACGAAGUGCUGCCAUUGGCUGCUGCAGCCAUAGGCUCCCAUGAGACAGCAGCCAUGAGUGAGCAGCCAGCAGCAGGUGAAGAUGCAUCAGACACAAGCCUGCAUGGGUCUGGUGUGGCAGGCUUGCUCCAGAAUGUGCAGCAACUACUGGUGCAGAUCCUGCAGACAUCACGGCAGCAGCAGGCACUACUGGAGAGCUUGGCCAGCGACACAGUCUCCCACCUCCACCGUAUCUCCCACAGCCUUGUGCAGGUGGGCGAGACCCUGCACCAACUCCUGCUCCAACCACAUCCUCACCCUAUUGGCCACUAUGUCCCCCACAUGCCCCUUUUUGAGGGUGGCUCCAGAGUACCCUGCUCCUCUGGUGCUCCCCACAUUUCCCCAGACCACAAAGAGGAGCCUCAGCUGUCCCCUGAUGCCAGGUGCAUCCCACCCUAAGUGCCACCAUCACUGGCCCCACGAGCAACAGCUUUGCUAUAGAGCUUGGCACAAAUCUUUAUGUCAGAGGUUCCAGAUAUUUUGAAAGUUUAUACUAGAGAGACAUUUUGAUGAAAUUAAAAAUAGCUUUUCUACCAGUGAUGGCA
RNAcentral lists this long non-coding RNA (1168 nucleotides) under Chloebia gouldiae (Gouldian finch). RNAcentral's name for it is "Erythrura gouldiae (Gouldian finch) lncRNA (ENSEGOG00005013524.1)". The record is from RNAcentral. Lineage: Eukaryota; Metazoa; Chordata; Aves; Passeriformes; Passeridae.